UCCCUGGUGGUCCAGUGGCUAAGAUGCCACACUCCCAAUGCAGGGAGCCCAGGUUCGAUCCCUAGUCAGGGAA
Molecule: transfer RNA, 73 nt
Filed under: Ovis aries (sheep)
Lineage: Eukaryota; Metazoa; Chordata; Mammalia; Artiodactyla; Bovidae
Rfam family: tRNA
About the family: Transfer RNA (tRNA) molecules are approximately 80 nucleotides in length. Their secondary structure includes four short double-helical elements and three loops (D, anti-codon, and T loops).
Source: Rfam by way of RNAcentral